CAAAAUCAAAGAGAAUGUUUUCACUUCAAAGUUGUGAUAAUGUUUCAGGUGCAGUUUCACAGUACAGACGAGGACUGACCUGUAUGUAUUGCUCCAAUGUACAGCUGAAGAACAUAAGAAUAUUACAGAAUUCAGAAGAAACUGGACUGUAACCUGUGUCAAGUGCAGCGGUGCACUAAUUGGGGUUCCCGGUCACUUUACGAAGAAAACACCAAUUUAAAAAAACAACAACAAAAAAACAACUCAUGUUGACCUUGUUCAUGUCGGCCUAAUGACCGUGUUGACCUAAUUCAGGUGUCGACCUAGUCACUGUCGACCAAUAGUGGUCAACCUAAUGACUGUCGACCAUGUUACUGCCGACCCUAUGAUCCACACCCGGCUUAAAUACAGAAGCAUAGUGAAGGAAACAAGAUAUAAAGCAGCAAAACUGGAUAAUGAGCAAACAAAAACAAGGAUAAAUUUGGAUAUAAGGCUUGGAAACGAGAGAAAGCAAGGUUAGCAAAGAGAAAGGAGGACUCAGGUUUUCACAGCGAUCUUCUAAAAUGGAGAGAUUUUCCACAAAGUCCCAAGUAUUCUGAAUAAUAGAUCACAUACCUAUAAAAGUGUAACCAUUAAGUGAAUACCUCUUGGAGAAUGAUCUGCUGUCUUAUAAAUAUUUGAAUGGUGAGUAUUGGAAAGUAUUCUUUUACAAACCCAUCUGUAAAGGUGGUCUUUACUUUGCAGAGCGCUGUGUACUUGAAAUGCCGAUGAUACUUUAUAAGCCACAGCAGGACGCCGUUCUCUGCAUUAAAUCCAUCGAAAAUAUCUAAAGUCUACUUUAUGUUUGUGUUCCCAGUUUUCAUGGAGAAGUCCUGAGGUGUAGUCUGAAUACGUUACUGAAAGGCAGGAGUGCGGUAAUAGAUAAAGAUUCCAUAGCUGAAUUUUGACAAUGGUUUUGUGUGAAAUCCUGCCUCUGCGUUGAAACAUGACUAAUAAAGCUAUUAUGGUAACUGUGCAA
Molecule: long non-coding RNA, 997 nt
Organism: Pseudophryne corroboree (corroboree frog)
Lineage: Eukaryota; Metazoa; Chordata; Amphibia; Anura; Myobatrachidae
Exons: 2
Source: RefSeq, a predicted model, not a curated record